GAUGAACGCUGGCGGCGUGCCUAAUACAUGCAAGUCGAGCGAACAGACGAGGAGCUUGCUCCUCUGACGUUAGCGGCGGACGGGUGAGUAACACGUGGAUAACCUACCUAUAAGACUGGGAUAACUUCGGGAAACCGGAGCUAAUACCGGAUAAUAUAUUGAACCGCAUGGUUCAAUAGUGAAAGACGGUUUUGCUGUCACUUAUAGAUGGAUCCGUGCCGCAUUAGCUAGUUGGUAAGGUAACGGCUUACCAAGGCAACGAUGCGUAGCCGACCCGAGAGGGUGAUCGGCCCGGCUGGAACUGAGACACGGUCCAGAGUCGUACGGGAGGCAGCAGUAGGGAAUCUUCCGCAAUGGGCGAAAGCCUGACGGAGCAACGCCGCGUGAGUGAUGAAGGUCUUCGGAUCGUAAAACUCUGUUAUUAGGGAAGAACAAAUGUGUAAGUAACUAUGCACGUCUUGACGGUACCUAAUCAGAAAGCCACGGCUAACUACGUG
This 497-nucleotide ribosomal RNA is filed under the name uncultured bacterium. RNAcentral's name for it is "partial 16S ribosomal RNA". It matches the Rfam family "Bacterial small subunit ribosomal RNA", at positions 28 to 507 of the family's 1533-position model. The record is from RNAcentral.